This 450-nucleotide ribosomal RNA is filed under the name uncultured bacterium. Its description in RNAcentral is "bacterial SSU rRNA". It matches the Rfam family "Bacterial small subunit ribosomal RNA", at positions 29 to 524 of the family's 1533-position model. The record is from RNAcentral.
AACGAACGCUGGCGGCAUGCCUAACACAUGCAAGUCGAACGAAGUCUUCGGACUUAGUGGCGCACGGGUGCGUAACGCGUGGGAAUCUGCCCUUGGGUGCGGAAUAACUUCUCGAAAGGGAUGCUAAUACCGCAUAAUGUCGUAAGACCAAAGAUUUAUCGCCCAAGGAUGAGCCCGCGUAAGAUUAGCUAGUUGGUGGGGUAAAAGCCUACCAAGGCGACGAUCUUUAGCUGGUCUGAGAGGAUGAUCAGCCACACUGGGACUGAGACACGGCCCAGACUCCUACGGGAGGCAGCAGUGGGGAAUAUUGGACAAUGGGCGAAGGCCUGAUCCAGCAAUGCCGCGUGAGUGAUGAAGGCCUUAGGGUUGUAAAGCUCUUUUACCCGGGAUGAUAAUGACAGUACCGGGAGAAUAAGCCCCGGCUAACUCCGUGCCAGCAGCCGCGGUAAU